CCAGGCCAGCAAUGUAUUCC
Molecule: unclassified non-coding RNA, 20 nt
Filed under: Mus musculus (house mouse)
Lineage: Eukaryota; Metazoa; Chordata; Mammalia; Rodentia; Muridae
Description: oocyte_clustered_small_RNA11463
Source: RNAcentral